Molecule: ribosomal RNA, 2193 nt
Filed under: Triticum aestivum (bread wheat)
Lineage: Eukaryota; Viridiplantae; Streptophyta; Magnoliopsida; Poales; Poaceae
Description: partial small subunit ribosomal RNA
Source: RNAcentral
AUGGUGGAGAACCGCAGCACCAUCGCCUUCUUCGGGACCUUCAGGCCAGCGGUGGCGCUGGACCUCUUCUCAUGCCCAGUGAACCCGACGACAACGUCUGCGCCGGACGAGCAGCGCCUCACCGACGGUAAGUCGUACAACCAGAACGGCCAGGCCAUCACGCCGGCGGCUCUCAAGGAGCUCCUGGCCAAGAACAGCCCCGCGCUGGCCGGCGUUGCCACUCCGGAUGACGUGGACAAGGGCCGUGUCACCGGCAUCGUCUUUGUCUCCGAGAGGGACAACGGCCUGGAGACGCUCCAUGUGGCCCUGCGCGCCGCAGGCAAGACCACGGUGGUGUCGCUGGCCGACAUCUACGGCACCGACACCUUCGGCGGGGUCCGAAUGGAGGACAGCGGCUGCUUGGCCGGUGGCUUCCAGGUGGGCGGUCGCACCGUCGGGCACUCGCUGGUGUACGUGUCCACCAAGGAGCCGGCGGCAGCACGGCGCACUCCGUGGACCGUGGUGUACAAGACCAACCUUGCCGAUGGCAGGACGGAGCGCCUCACUCCGCCGGAUCAAUACGACCUGAACCCGGCCGUGUCGCCGUCCGGGAAGAGGGUGGCGGUGGCCAAUUUCCGGUUCAACCAGUGGACCGGCGAGAUCGGCCGCCUCAAGACCGAUAUCGUGGUGAUGAACGUGGACCGGCAGGCGCAGGGUGGGCUUGGGCGCAGCGUCCUCAUCAAGGACGGCGGGUGGCCGACGUGGGGCAGCGACACUGUCAUCUUCUUCCACCGAGGGGUGGAUAGCAUAGACACAGUCAGUGGGAGGACCAAUACUGACUGGGGUGUGUACCGGUACGACCUCACCGCCAAGCAGGACAAGAACAACCCCUUCAAGGUGACCCCUGACGGCAUCCAAGCCAUGACUCCGGCGGCCAUCAGCGAGACCAAGGUGGCGGCGGCCGUCACCCGGGAGGGCACCCGGAUAGCUAUAGCGGUCGUGGAUCGCGAUAAAAAGGAACAGUACCGUCACAUCGAGAUCUAUGAGGUCGGCAAGCCUGCCAGCCCGGUGAUAAUCACCCAUAGGACGGACCACUACAGCCCGUUCGUGCUCGACGGCGGCAGCCGUAUCGGUUUCCACCGCCAGCUAACCAAGAAGGAGAAUACUACCGCUCAGAAGAACUUCAGCAAGCUGCAGAGCCCGGCGACGCACAAGGACGUCGGGAUCUACCGGAUGGCCGGCGUGUUCCCAAGCAUCCACAUGGCGGGCACCAAGAUCACCUACGUGGACAACGAGUUCAAAACCGUGUGGGUCGCCGACGAUGGACACGAGCCGCAAGAAGCCCAUACGGACAGGAGCAACAACAACAUCUUGUCCACAACGUGGAACCAAGGCAAGGACAUCGUCUACUUCUGCGUGGGCACGGCCUUCGGCACCGGCCCAAUACAGAUCUAUGCUCUCGAAGACGCCUCCAAUCCCUCACACAAUGAACGGACCAUGAGGCGCCUCACCAAGGGCAAUUUCAACAACGCCUUCCCCUCGAGCAACCGGGAUGGGAGCAAGUUCGUGUUCCGGUCGACGCGCGACAGAUCCGGUAAGCUGGAGGACGCCAAGUACAAGAACCUCUACAUCAUGGAGGACGCGGUAUACGGGGAGUGGAGUGAAGAUGAAGAAGGCACGGCAGUGAGGCAGCUCACUAACGGGCCCUGGAUCGACAGUCACUGCACCUGGUCGCCCACUGAUGAUUGGAUCGUCUUCUCCUCCUCCCGCGACAGGGCGGCUGGCGCGCCAGAGAGGGACAUCCUCGACGCCGGCUGCUUCUCCAUCUUUCUCGUCAAAGCCACCGACCCCAGUGUGUUGGUGCGGGUCAUGCACAGCGCCGACUCCCUGGCCGGCCAUGUCUGCCACCCCGUCUUCAGCCCCUUCAAGGACAGCAUCGUCAUCACCUCCGACGUCGCCGGCGUCUCGGCCGACCCGGUCUCUCUGCCCAUCUUCAUCCACUCCGUCAGGCCCUACGGCGACAUCUUCACCAUCAAACUCCGAGACAAGAAGGACAUCAUGAAGAACAAGGACAUCAUGGAGUUCGACCGCAUCACACACACCCGCUACGAGUACUCCACGCCCACCUGGACGACCUAUUUGGGUGACGACCCCAACAACAAGUGGAAAACGGCCGGUAGCGGUGCAGCGGAGUGCCCCGCCGGGAGGUGCUAG